GCCAAUCAUUCAUAAAGCUGGGCGAAAGGAGGAGGGCUCAUCCCAGCCCUCUUAUAGAAGUGCUCACUGAGAGUUCAGUGCUGAGUGCCUGGAACUGAGCUCACAUCAAGUUUCUGUGACCUCUUCUUACUGAGGACUGGAAAGGAUCCUUGGAUAUCCUCAAGCAUAGCAGUGGAGACAGUGACCUUUGAGGAUGUAGCUCUGAAGUUCACCCCAGAAGAGUGAGAUUUGCUGACUCCAUCCCAAAAGAAGCUCUACAGAGGAGUGAUGUGGGAAACAUAUAUGAAUAUUACUGCAACAAGAAGAAUAUGGAAUAAUUAGCAAAUUAAGGAAGAGGACAAAAAAUUUCUCAAGGAAUGUAAGAUGUGAUGAAGGCAAUUAUUUGAGAACUGAAGAGCAGCAAUAUAAAUGUAAUGAAAAUGUAGAGAGCUGCAGUGACUUCCAGUCCUUUCAGAAGCAUGAAAUGAGGAAGACUAUAGAGAGACCCAGUGAAUACGGGCAAUAUGAUGAGGAGAGUUCUGAUCUUAGUGAAAAAACUCACUCUGGGCAGAAAAGUUUUGUAGGUAACAAAAGUGUGAAAGCCCACCCAACACCUAACAGUGUUCAAACCCCCAAGACAAAACACAAUUUGGGAAACUUGUAUGUACAAAAACACUAUGAGAAUAAUUCUAUUUCUUCAUCCAAUAUUGAAAAACCUGUUAGAAAAUAUGGUAGAGAGAAACAUCAUAUAAAUGAAAAAUGUGCCAAAGCAUUAUCUCACAGUAAUUUCUUUAAAAAACAUAAGAAACUUCACACUGUAGAGCAACCAUAUGAAUGCAAACAAUGUGGGACAGCAUUCAGUAAACUCAGUGGCUGUCAAAGUAAUAAAAACAUUCACACUGGGGAUGUUUAAAAUUCCUCAUACAUUGUUGAUGCAUUGCAUUCAACAAAUGUGGGAAAAGUACAUGAUAGAAGAUAAAAGUACAUGCUUGUAAAGUACAUGAUAGAAUUCACACUGUGGAGAAACCCUUUUUAUGUAAGCAAUGUUGGAAAUCUUUGAGUCAAAAUAAUGACCUUAUUAAACAUGAAAGAAUUCAUACUGGGGAGAAACCAUUUGCAUGCAACAAAUGUGGGAAAUCUUUCAGUCAACAUAGUGACCUUAUUAAACAUGAAAGAAUUCACACUGGUGAGAAACCCUUUGCAUGUAACAAAUGUGGGAAAGAAUUCAGGACAGCCUCUGCUUGUAAAGCACAUGAUAGAAUUCACACUGGGGAGAAACCCUUUGUAUGUAAGCAAUGUGGGAAUUCUUUCAGUCAAAAUAGUGACUUUAUUAAACAUGAAAGAAUUCACACAGGGGAUAAACCCUAAAUAUGCAACAAAUGUGGGAAAGCAUUCAGUACAGCCUCUGCUUGUAAAGUACAUGAUAGAAUUCACACUGGGUAGAAACCCUUUGUAUGUAAGCAAUGUGGGAAAUCCUUCAGUCAAAAGUCUAACCUUAUUACACAUGAAAGAAUUCACACAGGGGAUAAACCUAAUGUAUGCAACAAAUGUGGGAAAGCAUUCAGUAGGGCCUCUGCUUGUAAAGCACAUGACAGAAUUCACUCUGGGGAGAAACCCUUUGUAUGUAAGCAAUGUGGGAAAUCUUUCAGUCAAAAUAGUGGCUCUAUUAAUCAUGAGAGCUCACACUGGGGAGAAACACUUUGCAUGCAACAAAUGUGGGAAAGCAUUCAGGACAGCCUCUGCUUGUAAGGCACAUGAUAGAAUUCACACUGGGGAGAAACCUUUGUAUGUAAGCAAUGUGGGAAAUCUUUCUGUCAAAGCAGUCACCUUAUUAUUCUUGAAAGAACUCACACUGCAUAGAACAUCUAUGGUACAACCAAUAUGCCAAAAUAUUCAGCAUGCAGAAGUGCUGAAAAUAAACCCUUUCCAUUGAUGUAAGCAAUUUGUGAUGUAUUUUAGCUAUAAUGGUAGCUUUUUUGUGUAGAAAAUAAUUCACUCUAUAAAAAUCCCUAUCUAUAUGAGAAAUGAGUAAAUGGAUUUGUUGAUACAUUCUCACUUUAUAACAUCAAAUAUCCCACAAUGGGAAAAAAUCCUAUGAACAUAAGGAAUAUAGGAAGACUCCCCAUACCAUUGAGAUUGCCAAUAAAAUUAAGAACUCCCUCUGUGUAGUAAUGCUAUGCAUUUGAAGAAUGGUAAAUUGUAUGUAGCACCCAAAAAUGCCAUAGGGAAAUUUUGCACACAAGGAAGAUAUCUAUGUAUGUAGGCAGUGUGGCAAAGAUUUGCUGCAGUAUUUCCCUUUUGCAAACAUAAGAUUCCUCUCACAUUGGGGAGUAACUGCAUGUAAGGAAGAUUUGGUAAAGUUCAGCUGACAGCUGCUAACCUUCUGAGUGAUGUCAUACUGUGUCCCGAGAUUAUGUAUGCAAUGUGGGAAAUCAUUCAGUAUACAUGGUUAUUGUCAAAAGUGUGAAAGUAAUCCUAGUUAAGUAAAAUCAUACAUAUGUAAGGGACUAUUUUGAAAAUAAUUUCAAAAUACUCAUGUAGAGGAGAAAUGCCAAAAUAUUAUAAAAUAAUUUCUGUCAAUAUAUGUUCAUUCAUUUUUGAAGACAACCUGAACAGAAUUAUCCUAAAAUAUUUUUGUCUUUUUUUAUAAAUUAUACAUAAAUAUUUUAUUUGCCUGUAGUCUUAA
Cavia porcellus (domestic guinea pig) is the source of this 2665-nucleotide long non-coding RNA. RefSeq lists it as uncharacterized. The record is from RefSeq and is a predicted model, not a curated record. The transcript has 4 exons. NCBI's taxonomy places the organism in Eukaryota, Metazoa, Chordata, Mammalia, Rodentia, Caviidae.